This is a non-coding RNA of Phrynosoma platyrhinos (Desert horned lizard), 73 nucleotides long. The record is from the annotation of a GenBank genome assembly. NCBI's taxonomy places the organism in Eukaryota, Metazoa, Chordata, Lepidosauria, Squamata, Phrynosomatidae.
GGCUAAGUUGGAUUAGUGGUUUGGGCACUGGAUUAAGACUCUGGAGACCAGGGUUUGAAUCCCGGCUUGGCCG